UUGGAGGGCAAGUCUGGUGCCAGCAGCCGCGGUAAUUCCAGCUCCAAUAGCGUAUAUUAAAGUUGUUGCAGUUAAAAAGCUCGUAGUUGAAUUUCGGGAUUGACACAUCGGUCGUGCCUUAAGGGGUAUGAACUGGUGUAGUCAAUUUCUCACCUUCUGGAGAACCGCGAUGCCCUUAAUUGGGUGUCGCGGGGAACCAGGACCUUUACUUUGAAAAAAUUAGAGUGUUUAAAGCAGGCAUUUUGCUUGAAUACAUUAGCAUGGAAUAAUAAAAUAGGACGGCAUGAUUCUAUUUUGUUGGUUUCUAGGAUCACCGUAAUGAUUAAUAGGGAUAGUUGGGGGCAUUAGUAUUCAAUUGUCAGAGGUGAAAUUCUUGGAUUUAUUGAAGACUAACUACUGCGAAAGCAUUUGCCAAGGAUGUUUCCAUUAAUCAAGAACGAAAGUUAGGGGAUCGAAGACGAUCAGAUACCGUCGUAGUCCUAACCAUAAACUAUGCCGACCAGGAAUCAGACGAUGUUAAUUUUUUAAUGACUCGUUUGGCACCUUACGGGAAACCAAAGUGUUUGGGUUC
Molecule: ribosomal RNA, 571 nt
Filed under: uncultured Glomeromycotina
Lineage: Eukaryota; Fungi; Glomeromycota
Description: SSU rRNA
Rfam family: Eukaryotic small subunit ribosomal RNA
Source: RNAcentral